AGCAGCCGCGGUAAUUCCAGCUCCAAUAGCGUAUAUUAAAGUUGUUGCAGUUAAAAAGCUCGUAGUUGAAUUUCGAGACCGGCUUACUGGUCGUGCUUUUGUGCGUACUGGUAUAAUCGGUUUCUCCUUUCUGACGAACUAUAAUGCCAUUAAUUUGGUGUUAUAGGGAAUCAGGACUGUUACUUUGAAAAAAUUAGAGUGUUUAAAGCAGGCUCACGCUUGAAUACAUUAGCAUGGAAUAACGGAAUAGGACGUUUGAUUCUAUUUUGUUGGUUUCUAGGAUCGACGUAAUGAUUAAUAGGGAUAGUUGGGGGCAUUAGUAUUCAAUUGUCAGAGGUGAAAUUCUUGGAUUUAUUGAAGACUAACUACUGCGAAAGCAUUUGCCAAGGAUGUUUUCAUUAAUCAAGAACGAAAGUUAAGGGGAUCGAAGACGAUCAGAUACCGUCGUAGUCUUAACCAUAAACUAUGCCGACUA
This 475-nucleotide unclassified non-coding RNA is filed under the name uncultured Glomus. Its description in RNAcentral is "SSU rRNA". It matches the Rfam family "Eukaryotic small subunit ribosomal RNA", at positions 569 to 1048 of the family's 1831-position model. Lineage: Eukaryota; Fungi; Glomeromycota; Glomeromycetes; Glomerales; Glomeraceae. The record is from RNAcentral.